CCGUGGCGCAAUCGGCUAGCGCGUUCGGCUGUUAACCGAAAGGUUGGUGGUUCGAGAGAAUAACAUAUUUUAAGGCCCAUCUGUAUCGU
Non-coding RNA from Nephila pilipes (giant wood spider), 89 nucleotides. Lineage: Eukaryota; Metazoa; Arthropoda; Arachnida; Araneae; Nephilidae. The record is from the annotation of a GenBank genome assembly.